RNAcentral lists this long non-coding RNA (465 nucleotides) under Numida meleagris (helmeted guineafowl). Its description in RNAcentral is "lncRNA (ENSNMEG00000017881.1)". The record is from RNAcentral. Lineage: Eukaryota; Metazoa; Chordata; Aves; Galliformes; Numididae.
CCAGGAGUCAAUGUGUAACAUGUCACUGCUACAUCACAAACACAGGCUCUGGUGACAGCUGCUCCCUAGAGAGGAUAGCAACAUCCCUCAUGUAAAAAAGACAAUGCUGUCAGUAGAAAUGUAUCAGUCCUGUAAAUGGUGUGUUUCUACCUUUAUCACCUCAUCAAACAAGGAAAAAGGAAAGAUACUCCUGCACGUACAGAGGAUAACAAAUUGGGAAUAUCUGAAAAUCUAUGAACUCCACUUCAGUGUAAAUUCAAUGAAAACUCAAAGAGAGAAAGGGAUAACAGGAGCCAGCAGUCCCUCUCACCGCGGCCUAUUUCUACCCCUGCUGCCCAUCCUCAGAGUUCUUUCAGACUGAGCUGACCCAGAGGUAUAUGGAACAGACAAAUCUUUAACACUGAUGUCCUGAUGGUCCUUACAGAAAUGGGGAAAUGAAAGAGGUGCAGUGUGAACAGGAUGGGC